GACGAACGCUGGCGGCGUGCCUAAUACAUGCAAGUAGAACGCUGAAGGAGGAGCUUGCUUCUCUGGAUGAGUUGCGAACGGGUGAGUAACGCGUAGGUAACCUGCCUGGUAGCGGGGGAUAACUAUUGGAAACGAUAGCUAAUACCGCAUAAUAGCAGUUGUUGCAUGACAACUGUUUGAAAGGUGCAAUUGCACCACUACCAGAUGGACCUGCGUUGUAUUAGCUAGUUGGUGGGGUAACGGCUCACCAAGGCGACGAUACAUAGCCGACCUGAGAGGGUGAUCGGCCACACUGGGACUGAGACACGGCACAGACUCCUACGGGAGGCAGCAGUAGGGAAUCUUCGGCAAUGGACGGAAGUCUGACCGAGCAACGCCGCGUGAGUGAAGAAGGUUUUCGGAUCGUAAAGCUCUGUUGUAAGAGAAGAACGAGUGUGAGAGUGGAAAGUUCACACUGUGACGGUAUCUUACCAGAAAGGGACGGCUAACUACGUG
This 495-nucleotide ribosomal RNA is filed under the name uncultured bacterium. RNAcentral describes it as "partial 16S ribosomal RNA". It matches the Rfam family "Bacterial small subunit ribosomal RNA", at positions 28 to 507 of the family's 1533-position model. The record is from RNAcentral.